RNAcentral lists this ribosomal RNA (955 nucleotides) under Microbacterium esteraromaticum. Its description in RNAcentral is "bacterial SSU rRNA". It matches the Rfam family "Bacterial small subunit ribosomal RNA", at positions 498 to 1448 of the family's 1533-position model. The record is from RNAcentral. Lineage: Bacteria; Bacillati; Actinomycetota; Actinomycetes; Micrococcales; Microbacteriaceae.
UAACUACGUGCCAGCAGCCGCGGUAAUACGUAGGGUGCAAGCGUUAUCCGGAAUUAUUGGGCGUAAAGAGCUCGUAGGCGGUCUGUCGCGUCUGCUGUGAAAUCCCGAGGCUCAACCUCGGGCUUGCAGUGGGUACGGGCAGACUAGAGUGCGGUAGGGGAGAUUGGAAUUCCUGGUGUAGCGGUGGAAUGCGCAGAUAUCAGGAGGAACACCGAUGGCGAAGGCAGAUCUCUGGGCCGUAACUGACGCUGAGGAGCGAAAGGGUGGGGAGCAAACAGGCUUAGAUACCCUGGUAGUCCACCCCGUAAACGUUGGGAACUAGUUGUGGGGUCCUUUCCACGGAUUCCGUGACGCAGCUAACGCAUUAAGUUCCCCGCCUGGGGAGUACGGCCGCAAGGCUAAAACUCAAAGGAAUUGACGGGGACCCGCACAAGCGGCGGAGCAUGCGGAUUAAUUCGAUGCAACGCGAAGAACCUUACCAAGGCUUGACAUACACGAGAACGGGCCAGAAAUGGUCAACUCUUUGGACACUCGUGAACAGGUGGUGCAUGGUUGUCGUCAGCUCGUGUCGUGAGAUGUUGGGUUAAGUCCCGCAACGAGCGCAACCCUCGUUCUAUGUUGCCAGCACGUAAUGGUGGGAACUCAUGGGAUACUGCCGGGGUCAACUCGGAGGAAGGUGGGGAUGACGUCAAAUCAUCAUGCCCCUUAUGUCUUGGGCUUCACGCAUGCUACAAUGGCCGGUACAAUGGGCUGCGAUACCGUAAGGUGGAGCGAAUCCCAAAAAGCCGGUCCCAGUUCGGAUUGAGGUCUGCAACUCGACCUCAUGAAGUCGGAGUCGCUAGUAAUCGCAGAUCAGCAACGCUGCGGUGAAUACGUUCCCGGGUCUUGUACACACCGCCCGUCAAGUCAUGAAAGUCGGUAACACCUGAAGCCGGUGGCCUAACCCCUUGUGGGA